GACGAACGCUGGCGGCGUGCUUAACACAUGCAAGUCGAACGGGCCCGCUCUCUUUUUUGGGGGUGGGUUGAGUGGCGAACGGGUGAGUAUCACGUGAGUAACCUGCCCCCUGCUCCUGGAUAACUGCUUGAAAGGGCGGCUAAUACGGGGUGUGCCGGCUGGUCCGCAUGGGCCUGGUCGGGAUAGUUUCAUCUUCGGGUGUUUCGGUGGGGGAUGGGCUCGCGGCCUAUCAGCUUGUUGGGGGGGUGAUGGCCCACCAAGGCGGUGACGGGUAGCCGGCCUGAGAGGGUGGGCGGCCACCCUGGGACUGAGACACGGCCCAGACUCCUGCGGGAGGCAGCAGUGGGGGGUAUUGCACAAUGGGCGGAAGCCUGAUGCAGCGACGUCGCGUGAGGGAUGGAGGCCUUCGGGUUGUGAACCUCUUCCUCCGGUGGUGAAGGCCCUGUCCGUUGCGGCGGGGUUGACGGUAGCCGGGUAUGAAGCGCCGGCUAACUACGUG
RNAcentral lists this ribosomal RNA (499 nucleotides) under uncultured bacterium. RNAcentral describes it as "partial 16S ribosomal RNA". It matches the Rfam family "Bacterial small subunit ribosomal RNA", at positions 28 to 507 of the family's 1533-position model. The record is from RNAcentral.